AUCUGAACUCAAAUCAGGCAGGAUUACCCGCUGAAUUUAAGCAUAU
RNAcentral lists this ribosomal RNA (46 nucleotides) under Harpella melusinae. RNAcentral's name for it is "partial 28S ribosomal RNA". Lineage: Eukaryota; Fungi; Kickxellomycota; Harpellomycetes; Harpellales; Harpellaceae. The record is from RNAcentral.